AUAAUGCAGUCGAACGCACAGCGAAAGGUGCUUGCACCUUUCAAGUGAGUGGCGAACGGGUGAGUAACACGUGGAUAACCUACCUCAAGGUUGGGGAUAACAUUUGGAAACAGAUGCUAAUACCGAAUAAAACUUAGUAUCGCAUGAUACCAGGUUAAAAGGCGCUACGGCGUCACCUAGAGAUGGAUCCGCGGUGCAUUAGUUAGUUGGUGGGGUAAAGGCUUACCAAGACAAUGAUGCAUAGCCGAGUUGAGAGACUGAUCGGCCACAUUGGGACUGAGACACGGCCCAAACUCCUACGGGAGGCUGCAGUAGGGAAUCUUCCACAAUGGGCGAAAGCCUGAUGGAGCAACGCCGCGUGUGUGAUGAAGGCUUUCGGGUCGUAAAGCACUGUUGUAUGGGAAGAACAGCUAGAGUAGGGAAUGACUUUAGUUUGACGGUACCAUACCAGAAAGGGACGGCUAAAUACGUGCCAGCAGCCGCGGUAAUACGUAUGUCCCGAGCGUUAUCCGGAUUUAUUGGGCGUAAAGCGAGCGCAGACGGUUAAUUAAGUCUGAUGUGAAAGCCCGGAGCUCAACUCCGGAAAGGCAUUGGAAACUGGUUAACUUGAGUGCAGUAGAGGUAAGUGGAACUCCAUGUGUAGCGGUGGAAUGCGUAGAUAUAUGGAAGAACACCAGCGGCGAAGGCGGCUUACUGGACUGUAACUGACGUUGAGGCUCGAAAGUGUGGGUAGCAAACAGGAUUAGAUACCCUGGUAGUCCACACCGUAAACGAUGAACACUAGGUGUUAGGAGGUUUCCGCCUCUUAGUGCCGAAGCUAACGCAUUAAGUGUUCCGCCUGGGGAGUACGACCGCAAGGUUGAAACUCAAAGGAAUUGACGGGGACCCGCACAAGCGGUGGAGCAUGUGGUUUAAUUCGAAGCAACGCGAGAACCUUACCAGGUC
RNAcentral lists this ribosomal RNA (945 nucleotides) under Leuconostoc gasicomitatum. Its description in RNAcentral is "bacterial SSU rRNA". It matches the Rfam family "Bacterial small subunit ribosomal RNA", at positions 51 to 980 of the family's 1533-position model. Lineage: Bacteria; Bacillati; Bacillota; Bacilli; Lactobacillales; Lactobacillaceae. The record is from RNAcentral.